CCUACGGGUGGCAGCAGUGAGGAAUAUUGGUCAAUGGACGAGAGUCUGAACCAGCCAAGUAGCGUGAAGGAUGACUGCCCUAUGGGUUGUAAACUUCUUUUAUAUGGGAAUAAAAUGUUCCACGUGUGGGGUUUUGUAUGUACCAUAUGAAUAAGGAUCGGCUAACUCCGUGCCAGCAGCCGCGGUAAUACGGAGGAUCCGAGCGUUAUCCGGAUUUAUUGGGUUUAAAGGGUGCGUAGGGGGACUGUUAAGUCAGUUGUGAAAGUUUGCGGUUCAACCGUAAAAUUGCAGUUGAGUCUGGCAGUCUUGAGUACAGUAGAGGUGGGCGGAAUUCGUGGUGUAGCGGUGAAAUGCUUAGAGAUCACGAAGAACUCCGAUUGCGAAGGCAGUUCACUGGACUGCAACUGACACUGAGGCUCGAAAGUGUGGGUAUCAAACAGGAUUAGAUACCCGUGUAGUC
This 460-nucleotide ribosomal RNA is filed under the name uncultured bacterium. RNAcentral describes it as "partial 16S ribosomal RNA". It matches the Rfam family "Bacterial small subunit ribosomal RNA", at positions 338 to 795 of the family's 1533-position model. The record is from RNAcentral.